UCGGCUUGGGCGGCUGGGCGCCGGUGCGCACGCGCGGGACUCAGUUCCCUCCGCGGAACCGUCGGAGCCACACUUGCAAAUUGUUUGUUUUGACCGAAUAUCAGUUAUUCCAUAAUGUAGUCUGUAAAACUCGUGGCGCCUCCGGUGCUCCUCCGGGCUUGAGGGGGUGACGGAGCCCGGGCGGAGGUCCCGGGGUCGGGGGCGGCCGCCACCCACGUUUCCCUGAUCCCGCUCAGCCCCGCCGCUGCGCUUAGCGAGCCGAAUCGAGGGUAGAGCGGGGCCCGCCGAAGCGCAGCCGUGCCAGGAAUUCCGCUUUUCCUCGGCUGUCAGCCACGCAGGAGCUCGCUGGAUGCUUGGAGAGUGCAGGAGACCCUGGAGGGGCGGGCGUUUGGAGCCGUGGUUAGGGCGCUGCCCGGGUUCCGCUCGGGGAGGGUCCCUGCUCAACGUGGGAGACCCACGCAGGGUGCGCGGCUCCUGGCCCGGCCCCAGCUGCUGCGACCAUCCAGAUGGCGAACCUGCGGAUGGAAGCUCUCCCUGUCUCUCUCUGCUGUUCCAAGGAAUAAAGAGAGAACGCCUGUCUUGAAAGCACAUGGGGCUGAAGAUGUCAACAAAACUGAGUGUCCGGGGGAACAGGCCUGGUGCUCCCUGCUGUCCUCCUCGUACUGGCCACGGCCAUGGCCACGGCCUCCCCUGUGGCCCAGGCGGAUGUGAGCUUCAAGAGUAACUGGAUGGUUUGUUUCCUGAAUCGUCCUCCUGUGAGCCCAUACUCUGCAAAGGGGAGACAGGGGCAGGGGUUUAGGUUGGCCGGGGUCGGGUUCUCCCCAGCCCCGGGCAAGCACGCCAGCUCCUCCCGCCUCGUCCUGCCAGGGGAAAGCCUCCCUGUGCACCACGGCAGCCGGCGCUUCUGCAGCCACUCUGGCAACCAAAGACACAUGUCCAGGCUGUGCUUUGAAAAUGCUCUUAAACAAGGAUUUCUGUUUUUUUUU
Molecule: long non-coding RNA, 986 nt
Organism: Oryctolagus cuniculus (rabbit)
Lineage: Eukaryota; Metazoa; Chordata; Mammalia; Lagomorpha; Leporidae
Source: RefSeq, a predicted model, not a curated record